GGAUGAACGCUGGCGGCGUGCUUAACACAUGCAAGUCGAACGGAAAGGCCCUGCUUUUGUGGGGUGCUCGAGUGGCGAACGGGUGAGUAACACGUGAGUAACCUGCCCUUGACUUUGGGAUAACUUCAGGAAACUGGGGCUAAUACCGGAUAGGAGCUCCUGCUGCAUGGUGGGGGUUGGAAAGUUUCGGCGGUUGGGGAUGGACUCGCGGCUUAUCAGCUUGUUGGUGGGGUAGUGGCUUACCAAGGCUUUGACGGGUAGCCGGCCUGAGAGGGUGACCGGCCACAUUGGGACUGAGAUACGGCCCAGACUCCUACGGGAGGCAGCAGUGGGGAAUAUUGCACAAUGGGCGGAAGCCUGAUGCAGCAACGCCGCGUGCGGGAUGACGGCCUUCGGGUUGUAAACCGCUUUCGCCUGUGACGAAGCGUGAGUGACGGUAAUGGGUAAAGAAGCACCGGCUAACUACGUG
RNAcentral lists this ribosomal RNA (469 nucleotides) under uncultured bacterium. RNAcentral's name for it is "partial 16S ribosomal RNA". It matches the Rfam family "Bacterial small subunit ribosomal RNA", at positions 27 to 507 of the family's 1533-position model. The record is from RNAcentral.